GUGCUCUCUUCAGCAACACAUAUGCUAAAAGUAGAACAAUACAGAGAAGAUUAGCAUGAUCCCUGCUCAGGGAUGACAUGCAAAUUCAUGAGGCAUUCCAUAUUUUU
This is a small nuclear RNA of Ailuropoda melanoleuca (giant panda), 107 nucleotides long. Lineage: Eukaryota; Metazoa; Chordata; Mammalia; Carnivora; Ursidae. The record is from Ensembl.